UACGUAGGGGGCAAGCGUUGUCCGGAAUCAUUGGGCGUAAAGAGCGCGUAGGCGGCUCGGUAAGUUCGCUGUAAAAGUCAAAGGCUUAACCUUUGAAUGUCAGUGGAUACUGCCGGGCUAGAGUCCGGAAGAGGCGAGUGGAACUCCUGGUGUAGCGGUGGAAUGCGCAGAUAUCAGGAAGAACACCAACGGCGAAGGCAGCUCGCUAGGACGGUACUGACGCUGAGACGCGAAAGCGUGGGGAGCGAACAGG
This 253-nucleotide ribosomal RNA is filed under the name uncultured bacterium. RNAcentral's name for it is "partial 16S ribosomal RNA". It matches the Rfam family "Bacterial small subunit ribosomal RNA", at positions 524 to 776 of the family's 1533-position model. The record is from RNAcentral.